Molecule: unclassified non-coding RNA, 1040 nt
Filed under: Hevea brasiliensis (rubber tree)
Lineage: Eukaryota; Viridiplantae; Streptophyta; Magnoliopsida; Malpighiales; Euphorbiaceae
Source: RNAcentral
UCUCUCUCUCUCUCUCUCUCUCUCUAGUACACACAUAUCCAUUUUUUUGAGUUUAAAGAAAGAGGGGUUGAUUGGAUUUUUGCAUGGAUGGAUCCUUCAAUUGGACAACACCAGGAAAUGCCCUCACAUUCACUGGAAAACAUGCUAGUUUGCUCAAAACCCCAUCAAGAGAGGAAACCAAGACCUCCACCAGAACAGGCUCUCAAGUGUCCAAGAUGUGAUUCCACCAACACCAAAUUUUGCUACUACAACAACUACAGCCUUUCUCAGCCAAGGUACUUCUGCAAAUCAUGCAGGAGGUAUUGGACCAAAGGGGGCACACUGAGAAAUGUUCCGGUGGGUGGAGGCUGCAGGAAGAACAAAAGAUCAUCAUCAUCAUCAUCAUCAAAGAAAUUCCAAGAUCAUCAGCAAUUAACUCCUAAUACCAACCCACUCGCUAGCCUCCCACCUUUAGCUUAUGACUCCAUUGACCCCAGUCUUGCCUUUGGUAGGCUCCAAAAGCAGUCUAGUGGGCAGCUAGGGUUUGAUGAGCAUGAUUUGUCUAUCUUGGGAAACCCAAACAACACCCGUUGUGAUAUGCUUGAAAACCCUAGCAUUCACACUUCAGCUGCAACUCCUUUUCUUGAUGCUCUAAGAAGUGGGUUUCUUGACGCCCAAUGCAGCAACUUCCAAAAUUUGUACAAUGGGUAUGGAAAUAGGAACGUAGGUGAGGUGGAAAAUAGUGGGGUUUGUGCUAGUGGAGAAAUGAUGAUGCCCUACGAAGAUAUGAGUUGUGCAGCCACACAAGCUGUGACAGUGACAACAAUGAAGCAAGAAUUGUGCAGUGGUAGAGAAGAUGAAAAUAAGGUUUUAUGGGGAUUCCCAUGGCAGCUCAAUGGAAAUGUGAUUGGUGGGGAUCUUGAUCCAGGAAGAGAAACCUGGAAUGGAGGACUUGGUUCAACUUGGCAUGGACUUCUUAACAGUGCCCUAAUGUAGUGCACCCAAUUUGUUAAUUUCACCUAGCUAGCCUUAUAAAAAAAAAAAAAAAAAAAAUCUGCAAG